Molecule: ribosomal RNA, 245 nt
Filed under: uncultured bacterium
Lineage: Bacteria
Description: partial 16S ribosomal RNA
Rfam family: Bacterial small subunit ribosomal RNA
Source: RNAcentral
UACGGGGGGGGUAAGCGUUGUUCGGAAUUACUGGGCGUAAAGGGCUCGUAGGCGGCCAACUAAGUCAUACGUGAAAUCCCUCAGCUUAACUGGGGAACUGCGUGUGAUACUGGAUGGCUUGGAUUUGGGAGAGGGAUGCGGAAUUCCAGGUGUAGCGGUGAAAUGCGCAGAUAUCAGGAGGAACACCGAUGGCGAAGGCAGGUCUCUGGGCUGACACUGACGCUCAUGCACGAAAGCGUGGGGAG